AAGGUGAUAAUUUCUUCUAUCCUUGUGAUUUUGUGACCUGAUUCAUGUUUGUGUUCUCUGAUGUAUAUGUGUUGUGAUGGUUACAAAUCUAGUUAGAUUAUUUUUAAGAUGCUUAUAUCAUAGAAAAAUAUUCUCUGUUCAAUUUUUUUUCCUCCACAUUAGCUAUUAAGGGCAUAGAAUGCAUCUAAAAUAAUUUACUAUUAGCAAUGAUGGAGAAUAUCUCCUAUCUGUAUUCAUGUAAAGACUGAAGAGAAUUGUUUUUUUAAGGUGAAAUAUCAUAUCUU
Molecule: unclassified non-coding RNA, 284 nt
Filed under: Hevea brasiliensis (rubber tree)
Lineage: Eukaryota; Viridiplantae; Streptophyta; Magnoliopsida; Malpighiales; Euphorbiaceae
Source: RNAcentral